GAAAUAAACCUGAUGAGUUGUUGCUGGCUCUCUCUAGAGAGCAUUGUGCACGCUUGUCAUCUUUAUGUCUCCACCUGUGCACAUUUUGUAGACCUGGAUCACUCUCUGAAAUGCUAACCCAGCAUUUCAGGUUGGAGGAAUUUGACUUUGUUGUCUUUCCUUGCAUUUCUAGGUCUAUGUUUCUUUUCAUAUAAUCUUAUUGUGAUAUAAUGGACCCUAUAUAAUAUAAACCUAUACAACUUUCAGCAACGGAUCUCUUGGCUCU
Molecule: unclassified non-coding RNA, 265 nt
Filed under: rhizosphere metagenome
Description: partial ribosomal RNA internal transcribed spacer region
Source: RNAcentral